Long non-coding RNA from Takifugu rubripes (torafugu), 1800 nucleotides. Lineage: Eukaryota; Metazoa; Chordata; Actinopteri; Tetraodontiformes; Tetraodontidae. The record is from Ensembl.
UGACGUACAAAUGUAUGUAUUAUUAUGUUAUUAUUAUUAUAUGCUAUUUGUUUCACAUAUCUUACUAGAGCGUAAAAUUCUUUCACUUUAGCGGAACAUUGCUGCCUCCAUUUUAAAUAUGUUUUUGCCUUUAUUUAUUUAUGCGGGACUAUAAUCCGCUUUAAUUCUACCUUGCUAGAGUCGCUGCAUUUCAAAUGCAAAUUUAAGGUACUGUAGGAGUGAUAUUAAUAUAACGCUUGAACUGAUUUCUUAAGGGAGUGAUGAUGACAUUAGUAAAAUGAUCCGAUGCGGGAUGGAGAAGGACCACCUCUUCUCCGGGAAGAGGUUUUCUUCUGCAGCAGGAUGGGAAUCGGUGGUGGCAAAAUUGUUGUGGUUCGGGUUUCUCGCCUCCUCCCCCACCUGCAGGAUCGGCAGGCAGGGGUGGGCCAAACUCUAAUGAGCGCUGAGCCUCUGGCGCACCUGCAGCGCAUUACCUUAAUUCGGCGGCUACUUAAACUCCCCUCGCUUUGCCUCCGGUGCCGGAUUUUUGUUUCGCCAGAGCGUCUAGCUCCCACCCUCUGUGAUCUCCAGUUUUUCGCCUCCUGUUUUCCGUGUUUACUUCCAGCAGUUGUGCUGUGGGAAAUUGGCCUGAAUGGAAUGCUGACUCCAGCCCGAGCAGCAAAAAUGUGGGAGAACCUUAUAAAAACCUACAAGGAGCUUCAGAGACCACCGUCAGGAUCUGGCACUGAAUCUGGGGAGGUCACUGCUGUUGUCAUAUAUUAAAAACGCCCAACACAACCAUUCGAUUUGUAAAAAGUUAUAAUGUAUUAAUUCUUCACCCAGAUUACAACACCAUAUUUCCCCCCCCCCCCCCGUAAAACACUCCACUCAAUUAUAGGUCUGUACCACAGUUCCUUGAUGCCUCCGUGCUGUGUGAGUGCAUGCCAUACGUAGGUUUCCCACCGUUGGAAUGUUUGCGGUCCAUAAAUGUCCUCCGAAAGCGCAGUGGUGUGUCCAGAGGCCUCCACGAGUGAAAAGUUCAAAAGGAAGAAAAAAAAAAGUAUAAUCCGAGGACGGCAUCCACGAUUAAAACGUUGAAUAAUAAUCCAAUCUGGGCGGAAAGGUGUCCAUCAGGUUGCUGCCAAUCGGCCAUAUAGUUGGGGAAAAAAAACUCGUGUCGCUCCUUAUGUUUCUGCGGGAGUUCUCCAUGUUGAUUGCCAAUUAACAUCAGCUGGGCACCUGCAGUUCGUGGGAACUUCUCCCUCAUGAACCCCACCCGUACAACAAAUGGGGAAUAUUAUAAACAGUUUUUAUACAUCCAUCACACUGCUGACAAGUGGAAAUAGUUCCCUCUCAUGGAUGAGGCAAUAGGUGGCAGGCCCAUGAUUCGGCCCCCAUGCCUCAUUGCCUCAGCCUGGGGGGAGAGCCAUUCCUUUUCUGAGUCAGGCUCCCCAUAUUCAGUCCCAGAUAGACCUGAUGGAGAGUCAGGGACAGGGGAGGAGGAACCAGGGCCAGCGGUACGAUAGGGAUACGAUAGUUUCUGUUACAGAAACUCGUAGAUAAAAUGUAAAAAAGAAUAUAUUAAAUUGUUUAAAUCAAGAUAACUUCCAUCAAAGAUUUUUUUCUUGGCAUCAUAUGGUUGUUAACAAAUGCUUUAUUCAAAGUUUAAAUUUAACUGAUAUAUUUUUGAUUUUGAAAAGAAAACUAUUUACAUAAACACACACACACACACACACAUAUAUAUAUAAAGAAAUUGCAUUUAUCCUUUUGGGAUUUUUUAAUAACUUUACAAAAAUGGAACACAAAAAUGAUUCAAAUUAA